AUUAAGUUGGACAAAUUUUUUCACAAAUAUUUAAUUAGUAUCACUUUAACACUUUGAACAGUAAUUAAAAGCACGAUCACAAUCAGAUUAUCAGAUUAUAUGGAAUUCCAGUUGAUACCUAAAUGAUAAAUCGAAACCUUUUCAUUUGAAGUAAAAAUCGUUAUUCAAAUGAAGCAAAGACAAAAAUUACACCAACAAUUAACUGUGCCAUCAUCAUUUAUAUAUAUAAAUCAUGGAAACAAUUAACAUAAAAUGAUCAAUUUGCUAGAAGAAACUGGAUUUGAUUAAAUUGGAGCACGAAACUUACCAAUACAUAUACUAAUUGCUAAUCUACAAUUAACUUUUCAGAUUAAAGGAAUAGCACAAACAGGAUAAAACAAACAAUUAAGAAAACAUUGGAAACAAUGGACAACAACAAUCAAUAGAUAUUAAAUGAUGGAUUUUAAAGACAAUCAAUUUAAAUUGUUUCGGAUCGUUGGAAAAGUUUAACUAAAUAUCAAAGUUAAAUGUUGACUUUUCGUUAGCAAAAUGACCAAUACAACUUGAUGAUAAUCUAAAAAGUGCUUUUCAACGAUCAACACUUAAUUGAGAAUAAAAAUAGGUCGAUGGUCGAAAUUGGCCUUGACGAUUUAAGUUAAUUGCUGGUAAACUAUUAACAUGAUGAUGAUGAUGAUGAUCAAGUCGAAUCAUUUAAAAUGAGAAAUUAAAUGAAAGAAAAAGAGAGAAAUUCAGAAGUGGCCUCUUUGCGAUCCCUCUCUCUCUCUCUACGAACCUGUUCUGACCACACCGGACAAAGAAAUAUAAUGAUAACAGUUAACAGUAGUGCCAGUUAAUUGUGAUUAAAGGAAAGAUCAGAAUAAGAAUCAACAAUUUAAUUCCAAGAAUAAGAUAUUAAACAUUUAACAUUUCUGGUCAAGGUUAUUAUUAUAACCGUUUACUGAUGAGCUUUGUUUCAGAUUUGUUAUUAUGUUUGACGAGAAAUUAUUACUUAUAUUAUCUUGAUUAUGAUUAAUUUAAUCAUUAUUCUUAAAUUGUGAUUUAAUUCAUUCAACUUAUUUAACUUUAUCUCUCUUUUUUUUUGUUGCUUUCAUUUGAUUUUGUUUUGUUCACAAUUCUCUCGAUAUAAUUAUCAUCAUA
Long non-coding RNA from Panonychus citri (citrus red mite), 1137 nucleotides. RefSeq lists it as uncharacterized. The record is from RefSeq and is a predicted model, not a curated record. NCBI's taxonomy places the organism in Eukaryota, Metazoa, Arthropoda, Arachnida, Trombidiformes, Tetranychidae. The transcript has 3 exons.